Long non-coding RNA from Syngnathus typhle (broad-nosed pipefish), 1464 nucleotides. RefSeq lists it as uncharacterized. Lineage: Eukaryota; Metazoa; Chordata; Actinopteri; Syngnathiformes; Syngnathidae. The record is from RefSeq and is a predicted model, not a curated record. The transcript is spliced from 2 exons.
AGAGUUUUGAGACGAGCUGCACGUCCACACGCCUUACCUGCCACGCUCAGAAAAGAGAUUUCGAGCUUGGCCAAGUAAGGAUUUAAAGGACGAGCAGAUGAAGAAAUCUCAUUGCCGGUGCAGCUAUACUGUUUUGCAAAGACCUUGCACGCGCGCGUCCACGCACGUGCAGACUUGCGAGCCGAGGACUUGCAGAAGUUGCUCUCCAAACCCUAAAGCCGAACAGGAUGGAUGGGCUCACCUUUGAAAUGCUCGAGUAGCACACGAGCCACGUGACUUAGGAUUGUUGACCCCCUCCCCGCCCCCACUGUGACUUUCCCCUUAGCAUUUUCUCUUCCGGCAUGCAGAACACGGAAUAAUCCAAUCAAAAUAAUGGCAUGCAGUAAAUUGUGAUGAGCGCUGCAGGUCAGGGAGCGGAGCAAGAUUUGGAGCAGGUUAGGUUAACCCUUGGGUUACCAUAACCGUAACCCGCAAGUGCCUUUGACCUGCAGCGCUUUUGAUUAUUCUGUAUUAGGGUUGGGGGUAACAGACAGGCACAAAGCCCACCCGCCCGCAAACGAACGAGAGAAAGCCGAGGCCAAGGGGAGCGGCCGGACUGUUCACGUGUGGGCGCGGGGGGUGGGACGCCCAUCCAGCUUGAAAUAAACCUAAUGGGACAUAAAAUGUGUCCUCGGUGUGAACUCGGGCUUUUCCAAUCCAAAAAAAAAAACUUCCAUCAAGUCCCUUUUCAGCGUGGCGACACGGAGGUGAAGACAAGGAGAGAACUCGGAGGGCUCUGCUGCAUGCUGAGCGCAUGUGGCCCGCCUGUAUACAACACAACCAUUUCUCCAACGUGUCGGCCAACAUAAAGGCUCCUCCGCUCAUUUUUCAGACGCGUCUCAUCGCUAUUCUGUGGACAGGCGACCUCCCUCCAUCCUUCCAUCCCCGCUGCAGAUGCGCUAGCUCGCUCGCGCUUUUGCUCCAAAUUGAGCAAGUCCAUUCAAAACACACAUUUAGCAAAAUCCAACUCAUAUGUUUUUUCUUUGUGCUGCGUAAGAAUUACGGUGAAGAGCUUUUUGUGAAUCCACUAUGCCCCCUCCCUUUCCCGAGAGGAAAGGUGAUUUAUAUUAGCCUAUUCAUGUCACAAAUUCAGUAAUUUAUCAAAUUCGUGUGGAUUAUUUUUUUUUUUGGGUGUGAUGUUUGGAUCCAUUUGAGCUAAAACGCAAAUAUGGGAGAAUCUAAAAGUCCUGGUAAAUAUUUGGAAUGGUUUUGCUUCGAAAAAACAAAACAAGGGCGGAAAAAAAAAUACAACUCCUGCGGGCCAUGCUGAUCACGUGGGGCUGCUGUUCUAACAAUGCAUGGUGCAACGAUUUCAUUCAUGCACUUGAUUUUACACACGUGGAAAGCCAACUUGCUGGAUGGUGUGUGCACGUCAAAAAGCAAUUGAACGCGGGCGAUCCCAAACAUUGUCGACCCCCCCCCCCC